CCGAUUCCAGGAAGUGCCAGCUAACAGAGAUUGCAGCCGGCAAGGCUCUGAGCAUGCCCAAGGCACCCACACCGGGUCUGGACAGCCCGCUCCCUCUGUCCCUGAGCAGGAUUUGACUCCACUGUGGCAACCACCUGCCCCACUUGUGAGAAAGAAUAAGCCAGGCUGGAAAACAGGCCAAGUGAGAAGGCUUCCUGCCUCCCAUGCCCAUGGGGCAGGGCUGGGUGUUAAUGAACCCAGCGCUGUCACAACAAGAAGGGGGCCAGCUGGAGCCCGCCCACGUUUGACCUCGGUCAUUUGGCAGAAACCAGACUGCAGGGGGAGUGGUCAGAAAUGUAAACAGGUCCAGCUCUCUCCCUGCCUUGGCAGUCUCUGUUGUCCUUGGCCCGCUGUGGGUUGUCACACAUCCUGGACAGGGCUGGUGGGGAUGGCAGAGCUGCAGGACCCCUUUCAAAUCUUGCUUUCUUUCUUCUACCCCCCGCCCUUGGCACCUGGUCCAACACUGGGUACCUGUGGGCCCCCUUCCAUCAGUGCCUUUUCACGGGUUGGUGCUAUAUGCUCCCUUAUUCUGAGCUCAAGUAAUCCGUAACGAUAGAAGCUCCGUGGAACACCUUGCCGUCUUUACUGAGUGCUAAUUUGGUUGGAAAGUCACACAGAAAAGAGGUUGCUAUUGAAUAACCACGUGUGGAAUGAUCUUCAUGCAUCCUUUGGAAAUCAGCCACUCCAAUGUUCAAAAAGGAUAUGAUUUCAGCUAAGCCAGAUUUAAUUGAGAGGGUAGAUUUUGAUUUGGGCCUGGCAUUGAUUGGAUGACCUGAAGCUGCUUUACCUCUCAACUGGGGUGUUUCAUGAACGAGGUCCUAGUUUGGCUGCAGGAGGACUUGUCAUUGAGAAUGUCUAUACAUGUGUGCUCGCUCACCUUUGUAUAAAAGGGGCUGCUUAAUCAGGUGGGACUUCUGAGUUGUUCUUCCAGGUACAGAAAUGCACCAACCUGCUCUGGUUGCUCUCCCUUGCUGUCUAAAACAGAUGCCACCUCGUGCCUUCUUGAGACAGAUGUUCAGGGCCGGGGUUAGUGUCUCUGGCCAAGGAGCCAGAGCAAAGAUAUUUGGUGGAUCCAGCAUUUGGCUCCAUGACUGUGCUCUGGUUAGCCCUGUUCCUUAGUUGUUGGGCCUCUUAACACAUUUUGUGAAGCCGAACUUUAGUACAGGUGUUUACUGAAAACGGGAUGUGUACCGUGGUCCAAAUCUAUUAGACGCUAAAAGGAUUCACCUUGUUUAGAUGCCUGGUACUAGCUUCUUCCCUACCCUCCAGCUGCAGGGGGGCCCCCAGAUUCCCCAGAGCCACAGUUACUCUGCAGUUCUGCUCUCCAGCUACAGCCAGACCAAGACAAAUUUCAGAGUUCUUUUUGUUGUUGUUCAGGGCUGCACCUGCAGCAUAUGGAAGUUCCCAGGCUAGGGGUAGAAUCGGAGCUGCAGCUGCCAGCCUACGCCACAACCACAGCCACACAGGAUCUGAGCCACAUCUGCAACCUACACCACAACACACGGCAACACCGGAUCCUUAACCCGCUGAGCGGGGCCAGGUAUUGAACCUGCAUCCUCAUGGAUACUAGUUGGAUCCAUUUCCACUGCACCACUCUUGUCUGUAGGUUCUUGUCCCAAGGGAGCCGAUGGGUUCGGGAGCUGCUCCAGACUUGGGGCUGGAAAUACGUUCCCAAACUGGAGAUUUCACUGAAGGGCACACCGCCUUUGUACUAGACUGUCUGUAUCUGGGGGUAGAGGUGCGUAACAGGCCCUCUGAGCCUGCACGGGGACAGGUAAACAGGGAUGCUGAAGGAGUGGAAAUGCAUUGUAAACAGUUCUUUAGAAAUGAGUCCCACGGGUGCCAUAUGAAACUGGCUCUGUUUGCAUUUGAAGCCUGGCUGCUGGGAAUUCUAACCAGUACAACACUGUUGGAAGACAAUUUGUAAAUAUUUAGCAAGAGCCUCUAAAAGAUUCAGGUCCUUUGAACUAGUGAUGAUUUUUAUAGAAAUCAAUUCAAACUUUUAAAAGUGAUGCUAAUCACCAAGAUACAUAUUUCAGCAUUAUUUAGCUGAAUUGGAAUUGAUCUAAAUACCCAUUUGUAGGGGAAUGGUUAGGUAUGUUUGGCAUGUUAUGCAGCCACUUAAAAUUUAGUUUAUAAAGACCAAUAUUAUAACCAGUUCUUGUGCAACAACAUUAAGUGGAAAGGCAGGAUACAGUUGAAAGUUUUUACAAUGCGUAAAAUAAAAAACUAGAAAUAAAUCCACCCAAAUGCUAAUAACAGCCAUGCUGGAAAAUGGGAUAAGACGUCAUUUUUUUUUUUCUGUUUAUAUACCUCUUUCUAAAAUUUGUCUAUGAGCAUUUAUUGCUUUCCAUGGGAAAAAUUAAAUGUAAAAAUUAGAACCUCAGAGAAUUGUUCGAAUAGCAUCAAGAUUUGAGAGCAGAGAGAUUUUAACAUUAUCAAUGGCCAACCCCAAGAUCUUUAGCCAGCCAGCCAGUUAACUCAGUGGUAAAGGGGGGUCUUUCUCUGAGCCUGUCCAUGGCUUUGCUGGGUGGCUGGACCAUCUCUUGACACGUGCAGUGAGGAGGCCUCGGAGAGAUGACCUGUGAGUCAUCGCACAACCCAGUAGCCAAUCAGAAUGUAUUAAGGGCUCCCUGUGAAGGAUGCAUCCUGUUUUGAACUAAGAAUGAUAUAGAAGGUCAAAGGGAAAAUGUUGCCCAAGAGAACCUGCAUUCUUACUUAAGAGAUAAAACACUCCUAAGACUUUUAUACACAUAAAACCGUUCAGGAACGUCAGUACGUCUUUGGACAGAUACUACUUAUAACUAGAUUUGUGUAUAUAUUUGUGUGUGGGUAUAUGUGUAUAUAAGUAUACACACACAUGUGCACAUUCACACAGACACAUUCUGCGAACACUCAAAUAUAUUGGUAGCUCAGACAAUAUACGGUAAUUGUGCAAUGGAAAAUAAGCACUUAUUGUGCUGUUAGUAGUAUUGUCUUUGAAUACAAAGAAUGGCUUUUCAUCGUAGAGCAUUUCAAUUGCAAUGACAAUGAUUGCAGACCAGGCCCACACUCGCCUCUCUUAUUAAUGAGUUGAUGCCGUAGUGCUCUCCAUUUGCAAAAUGCCACACAUAGCAAUUUAAAAAUCUUGAUCAUUUCACCAGAAUCAACGAGGCCUGCUUCGUGCGAAAGGCUCCUGGCAGGCUUGGGGAACCCUGCCACAGGUGUCUGGUUCCUGAUGCUCACCUGGAUCCCGCCAGGUGGGUUGGAACAGCUCUCUUUGUUUUCCUGAGGAAGGCACAGAGCAUAGAGCCGGCUGCGUGACAGAUGGGAGUCAGCAGCAAUGCGAUUUUGCUUCUGUGCUGUACCCCUCAGCUGGUCAAAUAUUACCCAGGCAGACAAGGCAAACCACCACCGAGAGACUCUGGUUCAAGCCAAGGCCAGCCUUGUUCUGACCCCUGAAAUCCGGCUGCGGUCUAUGCGCUCCUCCGGCUUCCUCUUCUUGAGGCUUCAGGGAAAGAAGGUACCUCCCACCUUUUUUGCUCAUCCAAGAGAGCAAAGGCAGGCACCUCCUUAGAAAACGCACCUAAGGCUCUAAUCCCUAUACCCUGCACAGAAAAGAGACCCCGGCUUCCCUCUCCCUUGUCUUUUCGAACCCUUUUUUUUUUUUUUUUUUCCUUUUUCUCCCUCAAAGCAAGCAGAGAUAGUAGUAUGAAUAAUUGAUUGUGAGAUGCUGCAGUGACUAACAGCUCUGGUUGGACUCUCUGGCUCAGGAAGCCUGGAAAGGUGCAAGGGGAGGAGAUCUGAAUGACAACCAGGCCUGGAGGUGCUGCGGGGUUGGGGGGGGGCACAGAGCCCUGUGACCGCCUGGCUGGGGCUGGGUCCUUGGACAGAGGGCUGUGCAUUGGACAAGAGGGGCGAGUUUUGGGAAAGUUCUUCUGUGUUCUAAUCCAAUUUGGAUCACACCAGGCGUGGUCUGCAUGUUUACCCCAGUGUGUGAGUGUGUGCAAAGCAGAAUAAGGGCUCCUAAAGAAAACAAAACAAACCAAAAAAACCCCACUGAUUCAUAGUAUACAAUUUAGGAAAAUACUGGUACCUGCAGCCCUUCCCUCCCCUCCUUCCUAAAGACAUGGUGAGACUGGAGAUGUGAGUUUGAAUCCUGUUUCUACCUCAUACCAGCUGAGAGACUUUGCAGGAGUCUCUGAGCCUCACUUUCCUCAUCUAAAACAGGGAUAAAAACCAACCAACCAGCCACCCUCCACACCAGUUUCAUGUACUGAUGUAUGUACUAUAUGUGAUUAUGCUUGGAAGGUAGGAGACUCUAUCAUCUCAUAUUGGAAUAUAAAUAUAGCUGGUGGUAGAUAAAAUUACCUUGCAGCUAAGCAAAACUGAUUCAGAUCUGUUGUGGAAAUACGAGUAUCCGGCCCAAGAGCUUUCCUCACUGUCCUCAGUAACCUGAUCUGAACCUUAGUCUGAACCUUCAUGACAGGUAGUUCUUCCAGGUGGCCCGCCUAGUUCACUCCAGUUGGAAUGAAUGCCCCUGAGGCCGUGGCUCCUGGACCAGCAGCAUCGCAUCACCUGGGAACUUGUUAGACAUGCACAUUCCAGACCCAGGCUUACAGAGAGAGGGAGUCUGGGGUUGGGGAAUCUAGCCAUCGGGCUUGUAGCAAGUUCUCCAGGUGAUGUUGUGGCUCGCUAAGGUUUGAAAGACAUUGCCUUAAGGGACUGUCUCUCUUGACUUUGCCAAGAACCAUCAGGGCUCCGUCCCCCAUGGCCCUUUUCCCGAUGCUUUAAAUCUGUCCUAGCUCCUUUGCAGGCUCUCCACAAAGGAUGGCUAUUUCCUGGAUUCUUGGAAUGUUGGCAGGUUUCUUAAAACUAGGAUUAGGCAAUUCUUCAAGGCUGGCCACCCUCCAUGCUUAGGCAACACACUAAGGGAUACAGGGCCAUAUCACCUCAUCUGCCACCUCCACGUCUCCCUGUGUCUCUGGGCAGGUUCUCAGGUCCAUCCAUCUGCUUCCAGUGCCGCGUUCCUGCCAGGGACUAGGUCGGUUGAGUCAAGAGGGCUGCAGUAUUGCAGAGGAGGAAAAACAAGCUCUCAGGGGAGAAAAGCUGGCCAACGCUGCCUCCUGGUUAUUACCACAGGGCCCGCUGCUGCCCUUUGCACGUGACUGCAUCGCUGCAAAUUCCACAGGCUGCUCUCUGCGGGGAGUUGGGCAAUAGAUAACAACUGUCCGGAGAGUUAUUUCUUUGGUAUUUUGGUUCAUUAAAAAAGUUGUCUGUGGUUCCCAAAAGCUCCAAGGGGAGGGGCUGCUUCUACUUCUGGAAUCCCAGAUGGGAUUUCAACAGCUCUCAACCAGUUCUUAAGCCAUAAGUUAAGUCAACACUUUUAAAUUAUGUGGUGAGCCUACCUUGGGGGAGGCGUGGGUGUGCGUAGAGGAGAUGGUAGUGAUUGGCUCUAAGAUCAUGUGUACAGAUAGCAAAGGUCGGGCGUGAAUUAAUUGAAAAACUGGUCUCCACCACAAAGCCUUGAACUCUAAAGAUGGUGUGUCGACUAAGAAGAGCAAUCCAUCAGAAGCUAUCUUCCCCCCUGCCCCACUGUACAGCAUGGGGAUCAAGUUAUUCUUACAUGUAUACAUUUUUUUCCCCCACCCUUUGUUCUCUUGCAACAUGAGUAUCUAGACAUAGUUCUCAAUGCUACUCAGCAGGAUCUCCUUGUAAAUCUAUUCUAAGUUGUGUCUGAUAACCCCAAGCUCCCGAUCCCUCCCACUCCCUCUCUCUCCUGUUGGGCAGCCACAAGUCUAUUCUCCAAGUCCCUAUCUUUCAUUGCUUGGAAAAUUGGCAGAGUUAAUAUGAAGUGCUGUCCCCUCGACUUCAGGAAGCCGGGGUUCUGAUAUUGACUCUGUCAUUGAUGGUUUGUGACCUUGAGCAAGAUGGUUUCUUCAUUCAUUCUUUUAUUCUUUCCUUCCACAUUUGAUUAACAUCGAUUAUGCUCUUGGCACUAGGCUGGUCAAAGAGUCAAGCACCCACUUGUUUAAAAACAGCCCAGGAGUUCCCAUUGUGGUUCAGCAGGUUAAGAACCCGACGUAGUGUCUCUGAGGAUGCAGGUUCUAUCCCUGACCUCACCCAGUAGGUUAAGGACCCGAUGUUGCCGUAAGGUGCGGUGUCGGUUGCAGACGUGGUUUGGAUCUGGUGUUGCUGUGGCUGUAGGCUGGCAGCUGCAGCUUAAAUUCAACCCCUAGCCCAGGAACUUCCAUAUGCCAUGGGUG
Molecule: long non-coding RNA, 6284 nt
Filed under: Sus scrofa (pig)
Lineage: Eukaryota; Metazoa; Chordata; Mammalia; Artiodactyla; Suidae
Description: lncRNA (ENSSSCG00035069967.1, ENSSSCG00065006208.1)
Source: RNAcentral